This 488-nucleotide ribosomal RNA is filed under the name uncultured bacterium. RNAcentral describes it as "bacterial SSU rRNA". It matches the Rfam family "Bacterial small subunit ribosomal RNA", at positions 30 to 509 of the family's 1533-position model. The record is from RNAcentral.
AUUGAACGCUGGCGGCAGGCUUAACACAUGCAAGUCGAGCGGUAACAGGAGAAGCUUGCUUCUCGCUGACGAGCGGCGGACGGGUGAGUAAUACUUAGGAAUCUACCUAGUAGUGGGGGAUAGCUCGGGGAAACUCGAAUUAAUACCGCAUACGACCUACGGGAGAAAGGGGGCAACUUGUUGCUCUCGCUAUUAGAUGAGCCUAAGUCGGAUUAGCUAGUUGGUGGGGUAAAGGCCUACCAAGGCGACGAUCUGUAGCUGGUCUGAGAGGAUGAUCAGCCACACCGGGACUGAGACACGGCCCGGACUCCUACGGGAGGCAGCAGUGGGGAAUAUUGGACAAUGGGGGCAACCCUGAUCCAGCCAUGCCGCGUGUGUGAAGAAGGCCUUUUGGUUGUAAAGCACUUUAAGCAGUGAAGAAGACUCCAUGGUUAAUACCCAUGGACGAUGACAUUAGCUGCAGAAUAAGCACCGGCUAACUCUGUGCC